Molecule: long non-coding RNA, 708 nt
Filed under: Monodelphis domestica (gray short-tailed opossum)
Lineage: Eukaryota; Metazoa; Chordata; Mammalia; Didelphimorphia; Didelphidae
Description: lncRNA (ENSMODG00000034512.2)
Source: RNAcentral
CUUAAACCUCUUUCUACUUCAACUGUAAGAUAAGGAUAAUAAUAGUAACUCUUUCCAAGAUUAUUGUGAAAAUCAAAUAAAAUAAUGUUUGUAAAGAACUUUGUGCAGUGGUUGGCAUGUAUUAGUCUCUAAUAAUUUCUUUCUUUCUCUCUCUCCUUCCUUCUUUGUUAAUUUUAGUAUUUAGAAACCUACAUCCACAACAGAGGAGAAAUAUCUUUAAUGCUUAUGUCCCUAGCAUCUUCCGUUAAAUGAAAUGAUGGAUCUCUUUCUGGUCAAAGUAAAUAUAUAUGAGGAAAAUGAAGCAGUACAAUGAGGAACAGAGGAAGUUUGGGAAAAAAUGCUGGUGCCAACAGUUCCCAGGAGUUUUAUCUCCAACCUUUCCAAGACAGGAGUGCAAGCUGGAAUGGUGCCAGCCUGAAGUUAGAUCAAGUGAUUUGGGCAACUUGAAAUGCAAAAUCUCUGACCUCAAGCUCACCAUAACCUUCGAAUGAUAAGCUAAGUUGGUAUAGCUCAAGGAGAGACUCUACACUGGAAGCUACUGAAUUUUCUAACAGUUUGUGUCAUUCAAAAUUAAUCCAUUAUUUAUGUUGUUCACUCAUAUUUCAUUCAUGUCCAACUCUUCAUGACUACAUUUGGAGUUUUCUUAGCAAGAUACUGAAGUGAGUUGCUAUUUCUUUUUGUAGCUCCUUUAUAUAUGAGGAAAUGGAG